UUGUCAUGAAACAUAUAAAAACAACUCCUGAAACGGCUCCGUUAUUCAGACGCAUAUUGUGGUGGAAUAAACAUGUUCAAGAAACUUCUGCUUUUUUGUGUGGUGAUGAUGCUGAUCGGCAGUAGCCUACAGCAGGGCGGAGGCGGCGGCGGCGGGGCUGGUGGUGGUGGGGAAGCUGGAGGUUACUUCCAAGCCGGUUUUAGCAUAGGGGGCGGCGCGAACAUGGGUGGGGGCGCCGGCGCCAACGGCGGCGGGGGCGGCAACGGAGGUGGCGGCGGCGAUUGGUCAUCGGCAACGCGAAAGAAGAAAAAGACUAAGAAGUGUUAAUGACUUCUUUGUUUAGGCUUCAAGUCAUAAAUUGGUAACUAACUAUGCUGUAUCUACUAACUUUGUGUUUCAGUAGGUAAUCAAUAUUAUAACUUCCAGGCCGUAAAUGAAGACGGACAAUCAGCAUACGCUUACUCAUACUCCAACCCCAACAACCAGAUGACAUCCAGUUACUCCAAGUAUGUUCCGGACUCCAUGAACAACGGUCAAGAUUAUAAAAAGUAUUAUCAAAAUUAAUUCAUUCUGUUAUUGGUGCUUAAUUGGUUGAUUAUGUCAUAUUAAAUUUUGAUUCACCAGCA
Plutella xylostella (diamondback moth) is the source of this 626-nucleotide non-coding RNA. The record is from RefSeq and is a predicted model, not a curated record. Lineage: Eukaryota; Metazoa; Arthropoda; Insecta; Lepidoptera; Plutellidae.